AGUGAACGCUGGCGGUAGGCCUAACACAUGCAAGUCGAACGGCAGCACAGUAAGAGCUUGCUCUUACGGGUGGCGAGUGGCGGACGGGUGAGGAAUACAUCGGAAUCUACUUUUUCGUGGGGGAUAACGUAGGGAAACUUACGCUAAUACCGCAUACGACCUACGGGUGAAAGCAGGGGAUCUUCGGACCUUGCGCGAUUGAAUGAGCCGAUGUCGGAUUAGCUAGUUGGCGGGGUAAAGGCCCACCAAGGCGACGAUCCGUAGCUGGUCUGAGAGGAUGAUCAGCCGCACUGGAACUGAGACACGGUCCAGACUCCUACGGGAGGCAGCAGUGGGGAAUAUUGGACAAUGGGCGCAAGCCUGAUCCAGCCAUACCGCGUGGGUGAAGAAGACCUUCGGGUUGUAAAGCCCUUUUGUUGGGAAAGAAAAGCAGCAGGUUAAUACCCCGCUGUUCUGACGGUACCCAAAGAAUAAGCACCGGCUAACUUCGUG
RNAcentral lists this ribosomal RNA (492 nucleotides) under uncultured bacterium. Its description in RNAcentral is "partial 16S ribosomal RNA". It matches the Rfam family "Bacterial small subunit ribosomal RNA", at positions 29 to 507 of the family's 1533-position model. The record is from RNAcentral.